This 404-nucleotide ribosomal RNA is filed under the name uncultured bacterium. RNAcentral's name for it is "partial 16S ribosomal RNA". It matches the Rfam family "Bacterial small subunit ribosomal RNA", at positions 355 to 774 of the family's 1533-position model. The record is from RNAcentral.
UGGGGAAUAUUUGGCAAUGGGCGAAAGCUUGACCAAGCAAUACCGCGUGAAGGAUGAAGGCCUUAGGGUUGUAAACUUCUUUUCUGAUUGACGAAAUUCUGACGGUAUUUCAGGAAUAAGCAUCGGCUAACUUCGUGCCAGCAGCCGCGGUAAUACGGGGGAUGCAAGCGUUAUCCGGAUUUAUUGGGCGUAAAGCGUUCGUAGAUGGUUUUUUAAGUUUAAUGUUAAAUUACAAAGCUUAACUUUGGGCAUGCAUUAAAAACUGAAAGACUUUAGUACAAUAGGGGUAAAGGGAAUUUUCAGUGUAGCGGUGAAAUGCGUAGAUAUUGGAAAGAACGCCUAUAGCGAAAGCACUUUACUGGGUUGUUACUGAAAUUGAGGAACGAAAGCUAGGGGAGCAAAGC